This 700-nucleotide ribosomal RNA is filed under the name uncultured bacterium. RNAcentral describes it as "bacterial SSU rRNA". It matches the Rfam family "Bacterial small subunit ribosomal RNA", at positions 94 to 788 of the family's 1533-position model. The record is from RNAcentral.
AGCGGCGAACGGGUGAGUAAUGCAUCGGAACGUGUCCCGGAGUGGGGGAUAACCCGGCGAAAGCCGGACUAAUACCGCAUAUGCUCUGAGGAGGAAAGUGGGGGACCUGUGAGGGCCUCAUGCUUUGGGAGCGGCCGAUGUCCGAUUAGCUAGUUGGUGGGGUAAAGGCUUACCAAGGCGACGAUCGGUAGCUGGUCUGAGAGGAUGAUCAGCCACACUGGGACUGAGACACGGCCCAGACUCCUACGGGAGGCAGCAGUGGGGAAUUUUGGACAAUGGGGGCAACCCUGAUCCAGCCAUGCCGCGUGCGGGAAGAAGGCCUUCGGGUUGUAAACCGCUUUUAGCUGGGAAGAAAAGGCAUCUCCUAAUACGGGGUGUUCUUGACGGUACCGGCGGAAUAAGCACCGGCUAACUACGUGCCAGCAGCCGCGGUAAUACGUAGGGUGCGAGCGUUAAUCGGAAUUACUGGGCGUAAAGCGUGCGCAGGCGGUUCGUUAAGUUUGUCGUGAAAGCCCCGGGCUCAACCUGGGAAUGGCGAUGAAAACUGGCGAGCUGGAGUGUGGCAGAGGGGGGUGGAAUUCCAGGUGUAGCAGUGAAAUGCGUAGAGAUCUGGAGGAACACCGAUGGCGAAGGCAGCCCCCUGGGCUGACACUGACGCUCAGGCACGAAAGCGUGGGGAGCAAACAGGAUUAGAUACCCU